CAAAACGACUCUCGGCAACGGAUAUCUCGGCUCACGCAUCGAUGAAGAACGUAGCAAAAUGCGAUACUUGGUGUGAAUUGCAGAAUCCCGUGAACCAUCGAGUUUUUGAACGCAAGUUGCGCCCGAAGCCAUCCGGUCGAGGGCACGCCUGCCUGGGCGUCACGC
RNAcentral lists this ribosomal RNA (165 nucleotides) under Malacothrix stebbinsii. RNAcentral's name for it is "5.8S ribosomal RNA". It matches the Rfam family "5.8S ribosomal RNA". From Rfam's summary of the family: 5.8S ribosomal RNA (5.8S rRNA) is a component of the large subunit of the eukaryotic ribosome. It is transcribed by RNA polymerase I as part of the 45S precursor that also contains 18S and 28S rRNA. Functionally, it is thought that 5.8S rRNA may be involved in ribosome translocation. The record is from RNAcentral. Lineage: Eukaryota; Viridiplantae; Streptophyta; Magnoliopsida; Asterales; Asteraceae.